Molecule: long non-coding RNA, 228 nt
Organism: Mustela erminea (ermine)
Lineage: Eukaryota; Metazoa; Chordata; Mammalia; Carnivora; Mustelidae
Exons: 3
Source: RefSeq, a predicted model, not a curated record
GAGCAGUCUGCUGGGCAGAGCUGGAGCCAGCCCCUGCAGACCCUGUAGAGCCUGAGCCCAGGAGGCCUAGCUAGGGUCUGCUACAGGGCUCUGCCCCUCACAAGGCGGUUGCCAGGGAGCCUUGGCUCUUCAGCAAAAAUGGAUGGAGCAGCCACACGCUGGGGACGCAGUGACAAAUCCUACCACCAGCAGCCAGAAGAGAGAUCACAAGUAGGCAGAGAGAGAGGA